RNAcentral lists this ribosomal RNA (386 nucleotides) under uncultured bacterium. Its description in RNAcentral is "bacterial SSU rRNA". It matches the Rfam family "Bacterial small subunit ribosomal RNA", at positions 29 to 416 of the family's 1533-position model. The record is from RNAcentral.
AUUGAACGCUGGCGGAAUGCUUUACACAUGCAAGUCGAGCGGCAGCGCGGGGCAACCUGGCGGCGAGCGGCGAACGGGUGAGUAAUGCAUCGGAACGUACCCAGUCGUGGGGGAUAACUGUCCGAAAGGACAGCUAAUACCGCAUACGUCCUGAGGGAGAAAGCGGGGGAUCGCAAGACCUCGCGCGAUUGGAGCGGCCGAUGCCGGAUUAGCUAGUUGGUAGGGUAAAGGCCUACCAAGGCGACGAUCCGUAGCUGGUCUGAGAGGACGACCAGCCACACUGGAACUGAGACACGGUCCAGAAACUCCUACGGGAGGCAGCAGUGGGGAAUUUUGGACAAUGGGGGCAACCCUGAUCCAGCCAUUCCGCGUGAGUGAAGAAGGCC